Molecule: long non-coding RNA, 382 nt
Organism: Hemicordylus capensis (graceful crag lizard)
Lineage: Eukaryota; Metazoa; Chordata; Lepidosauria; Squamata; Cordylidae
Exons: 2
Source: RefSeq, a predicted model, not a curated record
CCUUCCCACUCCGUCGCACAGCAAAGAAAGCAAGAAACUAAGCUCAUUAACAAAACAAACAAACAAGGGUGAUGGAAUUGAUUUACUGCAUGAUGCACUGCUGAGUGGACCAGGGGAAAAAUAUUAACCCUGAACGAAUUCAGCAAGCACCAUGCAAAUGGAAAUGAAGAAGAUCAGGUGUGGUGUGUUCUCCCAGGUUGAACAUUUCCAGGAUAAGGUUUUUCUCAUUUUGUUGUCAGUACCAAGCCCAUGAUAAUAAGCAGUUUUACAAAUUGACAGAUUUAUCAUUUUGACAUGCAAUUUUCUGUGUACCUUUUCCAAAGCCAUGGUUAAGCUAUGAAGAUAUUUGUAUUUGGAAAUAAACUGAUUAUGAUACUGCACA